GCGGGUGUAACUCAAUGGCAGAGCGCUUGCUUCCCAAGCAAGAUACGGGGGUUCGAUUCCCCUCACCCGCUCCA
This 74-nucleotide transfer RNA is filed under the name Dehalococcoidia bacterium. RNAcentral describes it as "tRNA-Gly". It matches the Rfam family "tRNA". Rfam says of the family: Transfer RNA (tRNA) molecules are approximately 80 nucleotides in length. Lineage: Bacteria; Bacillati; Chloroflexota; Dehalococcoidia. The record is from RNAcentral.